RNAcentral lists this ribosomal RNA (515 nucleotides) under uncultured bacterium. RNAcentral describes it as "bacterial SSU rRNA". It matches the Rfam family "Bacterial small subunit ribosomal RNA", at positions 735 to 1253 of the family's 1533-position model. The record is from RNAcentral.
AAAGACUGACGCUCAUGCACGAAAGCGUGGGGAUCAAACAGGAUUAGAUACCCUGGUAGUCCACGCUGUAAACGAUGAUCACUCGUUGUUGGCGAUAUACUGUCAGCGACUGAGCGAAAGCAUUAAGUGAUCCACCUGGGGAGUACGGCGGCAACGUUGAAACUCAAAGGAAUUGACGGGGGCCCGCACAAGCGGAGGAGCAUGUGGUUUAAUUCGAUGAUACGCGAGGAACCUUACCUGGGCUUAAAUGCAGGACGACGUUUCGUGAAAGCGGAAUUUCCUUCGGGACGUCUUGCAAGGUGCUGCAUGGUUGUCGUCAGCUCGUGCCGUGAGGUGUCGGGUUAAGUCCCAUAACGAGCGCAACCCCUAUUCUUAGUUGCCAUCAGGUCAUGCUGGGAACUCUAAGAAAACUGCCUACGCAAGUAGUGAGGAAGGUGGGGAUGACGUCAAAUCAGCACGGCCCUUAUGUCCAGGGCGACACACGUGCUACAAUGGCCAGUACAGAGGGUUGCAAA